This is a long non-coding RNA of Ipomoea triloba (trilobed morning glory), 845 nucleotides long. RefSeq lists it as uncharacterized. NCBI's taxonomy places the organism in Eukaryota, Viridiplantae, Streptophyta, Magnoliopsida, Solanales, Convolvulaceae. The record is from RefSeq and is a predicted model, not a curated record. The transcript is spliced from 2 exons.
UCUUCUCACGAAUCACGAGAACCAGCUGUCAUCCACCUAAUAACACUUCCCGUUCACGCCUCUCUUUGUCCUUCACGCCUUCUCACCUUUCAAUCUCCAGUUCAAAAGAAAACUUCACGCCUUCUCAGGUCUCUCUCCCCCUCCUCCUAACGCUCCCCGUUGUGGGAGACAGAAUAAGAUGGUCGCCGGCAUCUCGAGAGCUCAAAGACAAAGACACCGCAACGCUUACAGAUCAGAGGAUGGUCGCCGGCAUCUCCUCCAUUUCCGAUGCACUGAAGCAGCGCAUGAUGUUAUCUUUUUCACGGCUUCUCUGCGCAGGUGAAAGGAACAGCUAACCGAGUUUGGAGUUUUGCUGGUGGAGGUUAUUACUCAAAUCAAAACAAAAGAGGAGAUAUUGUAAUAGCUAUGGAUCCAACACACACUCACCGUCACCCACUCUCUCAUCUUUUUCUUCUUUUCUCUUUGUACUACGGCCUAAACGGAGCUGAACCGGAGGGGAAGCAAUAGAACCAACAGAUCUGAAAAUCUGUACAUAACAGUGGUGCGGCGUGGCGGAGGAAGGAUGAACAGCGGCGGCGGAGCGAGGAACAGCAGCAGCGGCGGUGUGGAAAUCUUUAGGGUUUUUGGCUUGUCUCUGACUCUCUGUGAUGUUCAAUUUCUUUUCUUUUUUUUUUUUUUUGAUUUUUUUUGUUUUGUUUUAGUGAAUGGAGAAAGGAUUUUUUAUUUUUUUUUGUUUUGUUUCACUGUGAUUCUUCAUUUCAGAUUGUAUGUAAAUUUUUGAUAAAUUAUGCAAUGUAUUAUUGAUAUUUUAGUGUUUUACUGAAAAUUAAUUUUGAGUUUGGCAA